AUUGAACGCUGGCGGCAUGCCUUACACAUGCAAGUCGAACGGCAGCGGACCUUCGGGUGCCGGCGAGUGGCGAACGGGUGAGUAAUGCAUCGGAACGUGCCAUUGAGUGGGGGAUAACGUAGCGAAAGUUGCGCUAAUACCGCAUAUUCUGUGAGCAGGAAAGCAGGGGACCGCAAGGCCUUGCGCUCUUUGAGCGGCCGAUGUCAGAUUAGCUAGUUGGUGAGGUAACGGCUUACCAAGGCGACGAUCUGUAGCGGGUCUGAGAGGAUGAUCCGCCACACUGGAACUGAGACACGGUCCAGACUCCUACGGGAGGCAGCAGUGGGGAAUUUUGGACAAUGGGGGCAACCCUGAUCCAGCCAUGCCGCGUGAGUG
RNAcentral lists this ribosomal RNA (375 nucleotides) under uncultured bacterium. RNAcentral's name for it is "bacterial SSU rRNA". It matches the Rfam family "Bacterial small subunit ribosomal RNA", at positions 30 to 407 of the family's 1533-position model. The record is from RNAcentral.